GCAGUUUCGACAUCUCCAAGGUGUCAGCCCAAGAGAAGUUAAAGCACAUGCCCAUACCAAUAUUUUCAUGUGAAUAACACUCUCCAUAAUAACCAAAAAGUGGAAACAGUACAAAUCUCCAACAACUGCUGAAUGGAUAUACAAAAUGUGGUAUAUCCCUACAAUGGAAUACUAUUCAGUAAUGAAAAAGGAAAGAAGGACGGAUACAUGCAACAACAUGGAAUAAUCUCCAAAACCUUAUGCCAACAGAAAAAAGACGUAAAACAGCACCAUCCAAACUUGAGGUUUCAAUAUUGAGACAGAUGAUGCCACGGACACACCAAGAGGGUAUGAAAAAGUUUAUAAUGCACACAAUGAGACUUUCUGGGGAUGGCAGAACAGACUUUCCAAAUUGGUCUGGUAAUGACUUGAAUAGCGAGAAAGGGGAGACCAGCUUGGGGUUUUUAUUGCGGUUAGGUGGCAGGACUCGGGUGAGGGUUCUCCUUAUGGGCAGGACUUGCAUGAUUUGAAACUCCCACAAUUACCAAAGAAGGGGAUAUCUGGAAUUUAUUAUAGGCUUCUCCAAAUGUGAGCUGAAGGGGAUGAAAGAUAGGUGUGACUUCAAAGCC
This 608-nucleotide long non-coding RNA is filed under the name Homo sapiens (human). Its description in RNAcentral is "HSALNT0102216". Lineage: Eukaryota; Metazoa; Chordata; Mammalia; Primates; Hominidae. The record is from RNAcentral.